AUGGAAAAAUAUGUAUUCCAUAAUUUGGUCAAGUGCUUCCAAGAGAGACAACUUCUACAAGAUGAGAGGCUUGUUUCCGUGGAAGAGCAAGUAGCAAUAUUCUUAUAUACCCUUUCGGCAAAUGCAAGCAACCGUACUCUGCAAGGGCAAUUUCAACAUAGUGGUCAAACCAUAAGUAUAUAUUUCAAUAAAGUGCUACAAAGUAUUAUGUUACUAUCUGGACAGCUCAUACAGUUGCCACCAAUAAAUGUCCCUCAAAAGGUUUCAAGCAACCCUAAAUUUGUGCCGUACUUUCAGGUACGCAUCUUGUAG
This 312-nucleotide ribosomal RNA is filed under the name Triticum aestivum (bread wheat). Its description in RNAcentral is "partial small subunit ribosomal RNA". Lineage: Eukaryota; Viridiplantae; Streptophyta; Magnoliopsida; Poales; Poaceae. The record is from RNAcentral.